CACCUGCUUACGGAAGCUGUCAGAGUACAGCACCUGAGCAACAGGAGAGAACCGCACAAACAAGACGUCAGAGACAGCACCAGGGAGAUCCGGUAUGGAUGUACCUUGCCCCAGAGAGUCUUUGUACUUUGUCUACAGCACCAAUCAGUUCAGCACAAAUUAAAAAGGCAACAGGAGAAAUCAUUAACAUGACAGGUACCGACAUAAGUGACACCAUCACCUGUUUAAAAAUGUAUACAGGAAACAAAGACUUAUCUUGACAAAAA
Alosa sapidissima (American shad) is the source of this 266-nucleotide long non-coding RNA. RefSeq lists it as uncharacterized. The record is from RefSeq and is a predicted model, not a curated record. The transcript is spliced from 2 exons. Lineage: Eukaryota; Metazoa; Chordata; Actinopteri; Clupeiformes; Clupeidae.